This 2355-nucleotide long non-coding RNA is filed under the name Homo sapiens (human). RNAcentral's name for it is "HSALNT0202628". Lineage: Eukaryota; Metazoa; Chordata; Mammalia; Primates; Hominidae. The record is from RNAcentral.
GCGCACGCACUCCUCAGCCCUUGGGCCGUCAAUGGGACCGGGCGCCAGGGAGCAGGGGGCGGCGCUCAUUGGGGAGGCUCAGACAGCCCAGGAGCCCACAGGGGUGGGGAGGCUCAGGCAUGGCUGGCUGCAGGUCCUGAGCCCCACCCCGCGGGGGUGCAGCUGAGGCCCGGCGAGAAUUCCAGCGCAGCGCAGCGCUGGCGGGCCGGCACUGCUGGGGGACCCGGCUCACCCUCCGCAGCUGCUGGCCCAGGUGCUAAGCCCUUCACUGCCUGGGGCUGGCGGCGCCGGCCGCUCAGAGUGUGGGCCGCGGAGCCCACGCCUACCCGGAACUCACGCUCGCCCUGGAGAGCGGGUGUGCAGCCCCAGUUCCCGCCCGCGCCUCUCCCUCCACACCUCUCUGCAAGCAGAGGGAGACGGCUCCAGCCUCAGCCAGCCCAGAGACGGGGUCCCACAGUGCAGCGGCAGGCUGAAGGGCUCCUCAAGCGUGGCCCGAGGAGACGCCAAGGCCCAGGAAGCGCUGAGAGCGAGAGACGGCCGCCAGCACGUUGUCACCUCUCACAGUGACCUUGGCAGAUGCGUGGAUGCUGACGAAAAUUGUACAAGAGAAUUUAUGAACAAAAACAAAAGAGACAAAUGGCGAAAAAUAUUUGAAGUACUUUUUCUUGGGCUGGCUCUUCUCCAAAUGACAACUGAUAAUUAGCUACAGCUCCAGUCCCUCUCCAUAAAGCUGCCCUCUGGAGUCUGGUAACUGCUUUGUCUCCUUCCCCGCUCAGACCUGGAUGGUAGUGGCUCCCAAGUGUCAUCAUCUAUAUUAAUUAUCAAUUGCAGCAUAACCAAUUAACAUGAAUUUAGUGGCUUAAACCAACACACAUUAAUUAUCUCAAAGUUUCUAUGGGUCAGGAAUCAGGCAUGGUUUAGCUGUAUCCUCUGACUCUGGGUGUCCCAGCAGAAGCAAUCAAGGUAUUGGCCAGGGCUGGUGCUCAUCUGAAAGCUCCACUAAGGAAGGAUUUAGUUCAAAUUCAUUGUUGCUGUAUUUAUUUCCUUUUGGAUUGUAGGACUGAGGGGCUCAGUUCCUUUCUGGCUAUUGACCAGAGGGUAUCCUCAAUCCCUUGCCGUGUAGUACUCUCCAGCAUGGCAACUUGCUGCCUCAAAGCCAGCGAGGGCAAGUGUCUGCUAGCAAGACAUAAGUCAGAGUCUUUUGUAAUUUAAUCUUAGAAGUGGCGUACCCUCAAAGUUGAGAUAUUCUGUUGGUUGUAUACAACUUAAUCAAGGGGAGGAGAUUACAUGAGGCAGUGAAUAGCACAAGAUCAGGAUCAUUGGGGUCAUCUUGAAAGCUGCCUACCAUCCCGUGUCUUGUUAGAGAACUUAAAUUCUGCCCACACCUUAGUAAAUAGCCCCCUAUUUAAGUGUGCCAUCAAAUAGGGGGCUAUUUACUAAGCCCCCUAUUUGAGGAUGAUAAAUUCAAUUUAAUCAGUCUUCUUUCUAUUCACUCUGAUGAAUUACUGUUCACUCUGAAUAAUGUGCUGGUUUCCAAGAUUCACCAAAACUAAAGAAAGCUAUCAGUACUGAACAUUCUCAGCAUAUUCAGUCAUCCAGGCCAACAUGGUCUAUAAAUGUAACAAUUUGCCUAAGUCAUGAAAUAAAACAUUUUUUUCUAAAAUAAUUUACAUUUAUACCUGAUUAGAUCAAAUGAGAAUUAGUUCAUGAGAAAUUGUGUAGGAUAUCAAGGGUCUUGUGAUGGUUAAUAUUGAGUGUAGACUUGAUUGGAUUGAAGGAUGCAAACUAUUUUUGGGGGGUAUGUCUAUAAGGGUGUUGCCAAAGGAGAUUAACAUUUGAGUCACUGGAUUGGGAGAGGCAGACCCACCCUCAGUCUAGGUGGGCACCGUCUAAUCAACUGCUGGCAUAAAAUCAGGCAAGGAAAGAACAGACUUGGCUGAGUCUUCUGGCCUCCAUCUUUCUCCUGUGCUGGAUGCUUCCUGCCCUCGAACAUCAGACUCCAAGUUCUUCAGCUUUUGGACUCUUGGACUCACAUCAGCGAUUUGCCAGUGGUUCUUGCACCUUUGGCCACAGAUGGAAGGCUGUACUAUCAGCUUCCCUACUUUUGGGGUUUUGGGACUUGGACUGGCUUCCUUGCUGCUCAGCAUGCAGACGGCCUAUUGUGGGACUUCACCUUGUGAUCUUGUGAGUCAAUACUCCUUAAUAAACUUCCCUUCACAUAUUCAUCUAUCCAAUUAGUUAUUUCCCCUUAGAAAACCCAGACUAAUACAGGCCUAUACAAUUGUGUGGUAGAUUUAGCAAUAGUAUGACUAGAACAAGUGAAAAUGCUGUAAUCAAGAAAACUAUUAAACAUUA